GAACUUAAUUGUCUGACCUCGUAUACUAAGACUAGAACGACACUGAGAAGAUUAGCACGGCCCCUGUGCAAGGAUCACACGCAAAUUCAUGAUGGAUUCCACAUUUUU
Rhinolophus ferrumequinum (greater horseshoe bat) is the source of this 108-nucleotide small nuclear RNA. Lineage: Eukaryota; Metazoa; Chordata; Mammalia; Chiroptera; Rhinolophidae. The record is from Ensembl.